Molecule: RNA transcript, 5532 nt
Organism: Gossypium arboreum
Lineage: Eukaryota; Viridiplantae; Streptophyta; Magnoliopsida; Malvales; Malvaceae
Gene name: protein FLX-like 1
Exons: 7
Source: RefSeq, a predicted model, not a curated record
UAUUCUCAUGAUUUUACUCAAAUUUUAAUACCCUUUCUUUUUGGUACCCGAGGACUUUAAGUGAUUCUCUUGCUUUUCGCUAAAUUUUCUUCCGUCUCCAAAUAGCCAGCUAUUGUUUGUAUUGCAAAAUUUCAAUUAGAAUUUUGUUUUCUCAUUAAUUUUCCAGAACACUUUUACAUUGAUUUUAAAGAACGAUAGUUUAGUUAUGUCUGGAAGAAAUCGUGGGCCACCGCCCAUUCCGAUGAAAGGGCCACCUCAUGCUGGAUUGCUGCCGCCGGUGCAUGAACAUCCUUAUGCUAGAGGCCUAGGACCAAUGCCACCACACCCAGCUUUACUGGAUGAAAUAAGAGAACCCCAAUUUGUGUUGGGUCCUAGAGGGUUUCCUCCUCAUCCAGCUAUCAUUGAGGAGCGUCUUGGAGUUCAACUGCAAGAAAUUCAAGCCCUCCUGGCGGAUAAUCAAAGGCUGGCAGCGACUCAUGUUGCGUUAAAGCAGGAAUUGGAGGCUGCUCAGCAUGAAUUAAAACAGAUGUCUCAUUAUGCAGAUUCGUUGAGGGCGGAGAAGGAUGUUCAGAUGAGAGAGAUGUACGAGAAGUCGGUUCGGUUGGAGGCUGAUCUUCGUGAACUGGAGGCUAUGCGAGCUGAGCUUGUUAAGGUUAAUGGUGAUAUAAAGCAGCUUAGUGCUGUGAAGCAGGAUCUAACGGGUCAGGUUCAGGUUAUGGGUCAAGAUUUGACAAGACUUACUGGGGAAUUGCAACGGGCUCCUGUUCUGAAGACUGAGAUUGAAAAUUUGAAGCAGGAAUUGCAACGUGCAAGAGCUGCCAUUGAAUAUGAGAAGAAAGGAUAUGCGGAAAAUUAUGAACAUGGUCAGGUGAUGGAGAAGAAAUUGAUCUCAAUGGCUCGGGAGUUGGAAAAGCUUCGUGCAGAAGUUGCUAAUGCAGAAAAGAGAACUCGCGCUGGUGGUGGCACUGGUGCUAAUCCUGCUGUAUCUGGUUAUAAUGCAAAUUAUGGAAACCCUGAAGCUGGAUAUACUGGAAAUACUUAUCAUGUCAACUAUGGCAUGAAUCCUGUUCAGGGUGGUGUGGAUGUUUAUCGUCAGUAUGGUCCUGCUUCUGGUUCCUGGGGUGCAUAUGACAUGCAGAGAGCUCAAGGACAUCGCUAGUUUGAUUUUCCAAAUCAUGCUAAGAUGAUUCAUCUGGUACUUCUGGGCAACUUAUUAGUUAUCUAGGCUUGGAUUUGAGCUAUUACAAUUUAUAAUAUGAUGGGUGUUCUGGAAUUGUACCUAAGAACAUUAUUUAUAUUUGCUUAAAAGUUGCAGUAUGCUGUUGUCUGCUUGAUAUUGUCUGGUGCAUAUAUUUUCUCAGUUGAUUUGUGAUGCAGCAUUUCAAUUUGAUACUUUUCUUUUCUUAGAUAUAUUAAUGAAAUUUGAGUUUCAUCAUUCAUUAUGUGGAGAAGACCUUGCCAUGCCUUUAUGAGGUAGAUGUUUGCUUUUGAAGAAUAGGAAUCAUUGGAUUCCUGUAAUACUGGCACAUAUGCUGCUGCUGCUGCUUCUUCUUCCUCUUCCAUUUCUCAUGGAAUAUGGGGUUGUUCAGUUGUGCUGCUUCUGUUUAUUUGCAGAAAAGUGACUACUCUUCAGUGUCUGACUUGAUUUAGCAAAAUAUUAAUAAAAUUUAGCCAGCUUUUCUAGCUUGUUUUUUCUUCUGUUUUCUCUUGGGUCUCUUCCAUUAAAGAUUAGUAUUACAUCUAAGCUGGCCUUUGUAGUUCAUUUGGUAGUUGUCUUUCCGUUGCUUUUUCACCUUAGUUUGGUAGCCUUGCUAUACUCAUGCACCUUUGCUUUGUUAAUUUCUCAUGGAGUUCCGUAAGAGGUUACAUCUAUAGAUUGUGCAAACUGGCAAGGGGUUUUAGUUUCAUCUGAUUGUACUAUGAAGAUUAAUCAUCAUUGCCUUUAUUAUCAGGUUCUUGGCCUAUUCUACUGCAAACUUAAGGUGAUGCAUGCGCUAUUACAGAAAAACGAAUUGAGAAAUGAAAAUGAACAGAUUUUCAGCUCAUUGAAUGACGUUUUACUUCUUUUUUCUAGAUAAUAUUUUCUGUUUUGGUUUUCUUUCUCUGGUUCCUGUGCCAUUGAUUUAUUCAUUUUAUGUUCUCUAGAGUUUUUCCGAUCAACGGGAAUACAAUAAAUUUCAUUUAUGCUAGACAUGCCUCUGGUGUUGGUUCCAUAGUUCCUGUUUGAGUAGGAUUAUAUUUCUGGGUCUUACUAGAUUAUUUCUAUUUAGUUUUUGUGUAUUAGGUGGAAGUGCUUACAUUUGUUAUCUAGUUUGAAGCUUAGUUUUGUCUAACCCUUGAGUUUAACUGAGAAUAAGAUGAUAGAAGAAUAUCCUAGCAACUUUUUCCUGCAAUUAAGAUUUGAUCGCAAGGUUGUCUGCAUCUUAUCCAUUUAUGCAAGAAGUAGCCUUAAAACAUUUUGCAAUAUUGUAUUGCUGCAUAUAUAUACAGGAACUCUAGGUUCUGUUGUGGAAAGAGUGGAGCCAAACUUUAGGAUUUACACUGAAAAGGAGCACUGUGUUGCUCCCAAUCCACAAUAUGCACAGCGUGGAUCAAUGAGGGGUGUGCGAAUAAUGUCAAAGUCAGAUAUGUUUGUUUAAUGUUGGCAGAUCUUCUGCUUUCCUAAGUCCAGCUUACAGAGGCUAUAUGCGAAGCCAACUAUAGAACUAGUGAGGGAUAUGAUGGCAACAGUCUUAUUUGGAAAAAUAUAUCCAUUGGUAGACUGAAUAGGGACAAAUAUACGUGCCUUGGGAAAUUCUAGGAUACAAGUAAGAGAAACUAGCUGACACCUGACAUUCCCUAUAAAUGUCAGAACAGGUAGCUUCCUUACUAGUUUUAUCUGGUUUCAACUGGCCUGGUUUUUAGUAUUUCUUUUACAAAGUCUGUCACCUUGGACACUAAAGCAGUUCUUCAGGACUGUGACCCCUUUUUUUUUGUGGAUCAUUGCUUCCUUUAUCAGAGAUUUUUAAAGGAGAGUAAGAUCAUACUUUGUCACAAUGGCUACCCUCUGGCCUCCAUUGCUUGGACCACUAUUGUAUCUGUACCACUUAUGCUUGACUAGCUUCUCUCAUCAUCUGAUGGUUUUUUUAACCCCCUUUGAUUUACAGCCUAUAUGAUGGCCCCCCCCCCAAAAAAAAAUAUAUAUAUAUAUUAUGAAUAUUUCUGGAAAGUUGUUCUCUGGAAUUUGCAUGAAACUGUAUGAAUACUACAUCCUGAGUAUAAAGAAAAACUGCCCUUGUUUUGAUAAAUAAGUAACAUCUUGUGUUGUAUUUUCAUUCUUUUCAAAUUUUACGAAAGAUGAGGAUGUACUUUUCAAAUUUUAUGAAAGAUGAGAAACAUCCUAGUACUUCUUCCUGAUACUUGACUUACUGUGAAGUUGAAAGCAGCAACUCAACAGAUUAUACAAACUCUUUUUUCAAUAUGUGAAAUUUUGUUUUUUUUUGCUUCUGACAUAUGUCUUCAGUUUUGAAUAUCUUACCUAUUGGAACCGGGAUCCAGAUCAUAAGAUUAGAUCCUGUUGAGAUGAGGCUAACAAAAGAACCAACUUCCAUUGAACUUAGUGUCAUGGGGGAUACUGGAAAUAAUAGGGUUAUUGGAUAGAUGAUUUAAGAAUGACAUGGCAAUAAAGCAGGUCAUAAAUAUGACGUUAGAAACUUUCUGGGACUUCCAAAUUUGUAGACUGUAUGUCAGCAUUCAGAUAGGAUUGCCAUUUUACGAUUGAGGGCAUAUGUGCUUUAGGAUUUCAUAGUAUGUAUUUGUCUCUCUAACAGUAAUAUAUUCUUUAUAUCUCUGGUUUCCUGGACUGGUUGUGUCCAUUAUCAUAAUGGCUUCACUCUUGAUUUAACAUCACAUCUAGUGUUGCCUCAUGGAGGCAUUGGUGCUGCCGCUGGUGUUGCAGCUUCUUCUCUUCUUCACCUUUAAAAUAAAAUUGCUGCCAUUUGUGUGUAUAUGCCAUUUAUCAUUAUUUCUGUUUUCUCCAUAAUUUGAGUAUUCAAUUUCCAUUGGUUAAACAUAAAAAAUGCCUAAUUGUCAAACAGAUGCUCUAUGACUAACUAAUUUUCUUUUUAAUAGUUUUUCCUAUUUCUUUCUCUUCCCUUUUCUUUCUUCCUUAUGCUUUCCAUUUGCCUUUUGGGUCUUAGAGCAAUGAUCUAAGACAAGUACUUGGCUAGUCUUUGAAUUUUGUUCCUUCUGUGACUACUAGUCUGUUUCUUUCUCAAUUCAUCAUAUUUGAAUAUUAAUUCAGCUGUGUCUUUUGCUGGAAUAAGUUAGCUAUUACUUGGUUUUAAGAGCUUAUUGGACUCUGUGGUCUUAGACAGAUUUAUAUGUUAUUUUAUGUUUAUGUGCAAUCUACUCCCUUUCUUCUCUCUCUUGUCUCUCUCUCAUGCUCCUACUGGUCUACUACAAUGAGAUGGAUUUUUGUCGAUUGCUCAUCUGAAGUAGAAGGCCAUUGUCUGUUACCGUAUGUAAAUCAUUGUUGUUGUUGCUGCGGGGACUGUUAAGUUGCUGAAAUGUAAACUGUUCAACAGUGAAGCAAAUUAUUGAGAAUAGAGGAGUUUGUCUUGGGUUGUAAAUACCUCAUCAAUGCCUUUAUUAUGUGCAAGUGAGGUCAAGAGAAACUUGAGCUUUGGUAAGAGAUACCAUCCAUGUCUUGUUUGAUUUGAAAAAAAUGUGACUAAGUGCUGGAAGAAGCUCGUUCAUUGCAUAGGUAUGCGACAUAUUGCCAAGACAUGGUCAUCAAUGAUGAUGCAAGAUGGUUUUUCUGGUCAAGUUUACAAACUUGUACCCAGAAAAUUGUCUGCUUCAGCAACUAUCCGUUGAUCUGAGUUCCAUGAGUUUAUAGCCCCUAUAGGCAAGCGGCUGACUCUGGAAGGCACCGGGGGAGCUCAGCAUAGGGAAGUGCUCGAUUGGAACCAGGGAGCUGCUGAACGCUGAGUUGAAGGCUCAGAUCUUACCUGGUAACGUGCCAUGGGUGGCACAUUGGUCCUCGAUGAAUAGAGACAGAACAGAGCAAUCUCAUUGCUUAUUCUUUGCCAGUUGCCACUCAUCUCAACAAAAUCACCUAAACUGUGGUUUUUACUGCCUAUGGGAAUAAAAAGCAUAUAUAUAUACAAGCUCAACUAUAACUUUACAUGUACUUUCUGAUCUUCAAUAGCUUAUUCAGGGCUUCUUGUUUACAUCUUAUAAAAAAUUGGGUCCUGUUCUUUGAUACUCAUACAUUAACACCAUUUUUGAAGCACCGGAUUUGCUCUUUAAUCUCCAAUGAUUCUAGCUGUUGGUGCAGAGAAUACAGAUCAACUUAUGACUCGUAAUAGCUUAGAUCUGGGGAAAUAAAAACCACUAUUUUAGUAGUUUCUUAAAAAAAAAAGUUCUAGGUCCUAAAGUAGAAGUCAUACCAUGAUAUUCUUUAGCAACUUAGACCAUUUUAUUAUAUUUGUAUUAUAUAAUGUAAUUUAUAAUAUACGUACUAAAUUGUAAAAUGCAAUAAACCUAAAA